This is a ribosomal RNA of Carassius auratus (goldfish), 119 nucleotides long. The record is from Ensembl. Lineage: Eukaryota; Metazoa; Chordata; Actinopteri; Cypriniformes; Cyprinidae.
GCUUACGGCCAUACCAACCUGGCGAUGCCCGAUCUCGUCUGAUCUCGGAAGCUAAGCAGGUUUGGGCCUGGUUAGUACUUGGAUGGGAGACCGCCUGGGAAUGCCAGGUGCUGUAAGCU